UAAAGGAAGCGAUUCCGGCUACGGAUGGUCAUGCGUCGCAUUAGCUAGUUGGCGGGGUAACGGCCCACCAAGGCGACGAUGCGUAGGGGUUCUGAGAGGAAGGUCCCCCACACUGGUACUGAGACACGGACCAGACUCCUACGGGAGGCAGCAGUGAGGAAUAUUGGUCAAUGGCCGCAGGGCUGAACCAGCCAAGUCGCGUGAGGGAUGACGGUCCUAUGGAUUGUAAACCUCUUUUGUCAGGGAGCAAAGGGCGCCACGUGUGGCGCUUUGCGAGUACCUGAAGAAAAAGCAUCGGCUAACUCCGUGCCAGCAGCCGCGGUAAUACGGAGGAUGCGAGCGUUAUCCGGAUUUAUUGGGUUUAAAGGGUGCGCAGGCGGAAUGUCAAGUCAGCGGUAAAAUUUCGGGGCUCAACCCCGUCGUGCCGUUGAAACUGGCGUUCUUGAGUGAGCGAGAAGUAUGCGGAAUGCGUGGUGUAGCGGUGAAAUGCAUAGAUAUCACGCAGAACUCCGAUUGCGAAGGCAGCAUACCGGCGCUCAACUGACGCUCAUGCACGAAAGCGUGGGUAUCGAACAGGAUUAGAUACCCUGGUAGUCCACGCAGUAAACGAUGAAUACUAACUGUCCGGGC
RNAcentral lists this ribosomal RNA (630 nucleotides) under uncultured bacterium. RNAcentral describes it as "bacterial SSU rRNA". It matches the Rfam family "Bacterial small subunit ribosomal RNA", at positions 202 to 829 of the family's 1533-position model. The record is from RNAcentral.